CCGCCUCCACAGCCACAGCCACCAGCCUGUGCAGAGCCCCAGCUGGAGUGACUCGGGCAGGGGCAGCAGGGGUCGCGGGCUCCUCCUCGUGGGAAGAUCUCCAGUCCAGUUGAUGAAGGGCCAGCAUAUCCUCUUUCUCCCUUGAUGCCCUGAGGAGCAACAGCAGAAUUAGCUCUGUGGCUGCCUUUGGUGGUGUUAAUGCAAGACAUGGGGCUGAGGCCGGUACCCAGACUGGCACCUGAAGGCUGAGGGCACCAAAACAGGGGACUAGAGAGAAGAGACGGUGGCCAGUAGAGCCUCCCACCUGCCACUGUGGCCGAUGCUGGAAAGUGGGACACACCCACCCUGAGGCUUUUGCAAGGGUGUCUCCCUCUCUCUCCCAAAACCCCCUGGGAAGCAAAUCUCAGUUCUUCCCAAACCUGGGA
RNAcentral lists this long non-coding RNA (425 nucleotides) under Rattus norvegicus (Norway rat). RNAcentral's name for it is "long non-coding RNA NONRATT023650". The record is from RNAcentral. Lineage: Eukaryota; Metazoa; Chordata; Mammalia; Rodentia; Muridae.